Long non-coding RNA from Syngnathus acus (greater pipefish), 315 nucleotides. RefSeq lists it as uncharacterized. The record is from RefSeq and is a predicted model, not a curated record. NCBI's taxonomy places the organism in Eukaryota, Metazoa, Chordata, Actinopteri, Syngnathiformes, Syngnathidae. The transcript has 2 exons.
AAAGCCAAGCGUGCAACGACCGACAAGAAGAUGAGCAGCACUGAUACGCAGAGAGAGCAUGUGCACAAAAUGCCUUCAAUACCAUACAGUUUUACCAUUCUGCUGUAUUGCCACUCUUGCUCUUGCUCCUCUGUUGGCAGUGCACGGUAAGUGUGAUAGUGAAAUUGGGAAAUAUAGACUACUCUGAAUCCCACAGAGAGAAUAAUUCCCAGGAUUGCAACUAUAUACAUGGCCAAACAAACUGUCACCUGAAAGACAUGAAAUUGUUUAUUGACUCCAGGCUCAAACUGUCACCACAAUAAAACCUCAAUCACA